CAUCUUAUCAAGAAUUCAAGUCUUGCUAUCAACAGGGUUGCCACAUACAAUUGUGAAUGGGAAUGGGAAGAAGGCUACGGUUUUGCCCUGAGUGAGAGCCUUGGCUUUUCCUUCCACGGAUUUGGCUGCAGAUCCAGAGAGAUGGGAGCAGGAGGCUUCUGAGGAGAGCUGAAGCCACCAACUGUUCUGGAAGCCCUGGUUUUAGGAGUGGUAAACAAAGAGAAAAGGAGAUAGGUUGUCAGCCCAGCUUCAGAAUGAAGAUCUUGGGGAAGGACUCCAAGAGGCUGGACAUGGACAAUGUGCUUUAUCCUCGACCAGCAUCACAGCCAAAGACCAGGAUGAGUCAAGCAGUGCCUCUGAUUAUGAGCGCACCCUCAAGUUCGCCCAA
This 388-nucleotide long non-coding RNA is filed under the name Homo sapiens (human). RNAcentral describes it as "HSALNT0133882". Lineage: Eukaryota; Metazoa; Chordata; Mammalia; Primates; Hominidae. The record is from RNAcentral.